This 254-nucleotide ribosomal RNA is filed under the name uncultured bacterium. Its description in RNAcentral is "partial 16S ribosomal RNA". It matches the Rfam family "Bacterial small subunit ribosomal RNA", at positions 524 to 776 of the family's 1533-position model. The record is from RNAcentral.
UACAGAGGGUGCAAGCGUUAAUCGGAAUCACUGGGCGUAAAGCGCACGUAGGCGGAUCGUUAAGUCGGGGGUGAAAUCCCAGGGCUCAACCCUGGAACUGCCUUCGAUACUGGCGAUCUUCGAGUCCGGGAGAGGUGAGUGGAACUCCGAGUGUAGAGGUGAAAUUCGUAGAUAUUCGGAAGAACACCAGUGGCGAAGGCGGCUCACUGGCCCGGUACUGACGCUGAGGUGCGAAAGCGUGGGGAGCAAACAGG